CUGAGUUGGAAAUUUAGAAACGGAAUGCAGCUUUAUUCACACCUUCCUCUUUAACAAAAUGUAUUUUGACAGCUACCCUUUUAUUCAUUGAAUUUGGCAUGCACUAUUUAUUGACCAAAUAGUGGAGCUUCAAUAUUAAGCAGGAAAAAAUUACAGAUUUAUACUUUGAAGCCUCCUGAAAAAACCUUCCUUGAAAAAACUUCCAUUGAAAACCUCUGGUGCAAUAUUUCAGAUGUUUACCUGUAAUACCAACCUGUUACUCACAAUUAUAUACCACAAAAUAUCCAAGACAAGUCUCCACUACACAUAUCAUUCCCUUCUUUUAUUCUACUGGUAUGUAGAGCCUUGUGCUUCUGAAAGCUGACAUAUCUUUUUAGUAUGGACUGGCUCUGUACUAUCUUGAAAAAUAAACUGUAUGCAUUUCCAAUGUUCUGUAUGUUCUUCUAAUUUGGGAUUACAUUUCUGUUUUAGAUGUUUAAUUUCAAGCAAAAUCCAGUCUUCCCUAAAAUUCACAGCAUGGUGCACUACUGGCUAACACUGCUCGUACAAGAUGGGCCAACACUUACCUUCCUGUCUGCUUCUACUCAUAGGUCCUAAUACAAAUUCUCUGACAACCUUAUUGAAUUUUUCUAUACUUAUUGAUGAUUGUUUUUUUAUUCCAUGCAAAUUUAAUUCUGGUUUUCUGUUUGUUGUGAACAUUAAUAUGCCUCUCUCUAUAUUGCAAUUUACUGCACUGAUUGUGAGCCUGCCCUGAGACAGUACUAUGAAAUUUUCUGAACAGGAGUGAACCUCUUGAUAAGUGAAGCUGUGUUUUUAAUCUUUAAAGAUUCUUUUCUUUCAGGAAGUUUUCCGGAGGAUUGGAGGAAGGUGGAUGUGGUUCCUAUAUUCAAAAAGGGUUCAUAAUCCUUGCCUGGAAAAUAUAAACCUGUGAGCUUAAAAUCUGUGGCUGGGAAAGUAUUUGAAAGGUUAUUAAGGGAUAAUAUUCAAGAGUUCCUUGAGAAGAAGGUGGUUAUCAGCAAAAAUCAGCAUGGUUUUAUUAGGAAGUAAUAAGAAGUAUAGAUCAGGGUAUUGCAGUGGAUGUGAUCUAUUUGGAUUUUGCCAAGGCGUUUGAUAUAAUUCCAGACACUAGAUUAGUGUUCAAACUCAAAUAAAUCGGUCUAGAUGAAAAAUCUUGUUCUUGGGUAGGGCAUUGGCUUAAAAAUAGAGUACAGAGAGUUGUCAUUAAUUAUACAUUUGCAAGCUGGACAGAGGUGGCAAGUGGUGUCCCGCAGAGUUCUGUUCUGGGACCCCUUCUAUUAAACAUGCUUAAAUAUAUGAUCUUGAAAAAAGCAUUGAAAGUCAUGUUUCAGUGUUUGCAGAUGACACAAAACUCUGUAAAGUAAUACAAUGUGAGCAAGAUAUUAUUUUGCUGCAGAGGGAUUUAGAUAGACUGGGGGACUGGGCACUCAAAUAACAGAUUACAUUUAAUGUAGAAAAAUGCAAAGUUAUGCACUUCGGCAUAAAGAAUGCACAAGCAACUUAUCUCCUUAAUGGAAGCGACCACAUCUUGAAUAUACUGUGCAAUUUUUGGCACCUGUUCUAAAGAAGGAUAUCAUGGCACUAGAAAGAG
This is a non-coding RNA of Pelobates cultripes (western spadefoot toad), 1609 nucleotides long. The record is from the annotation of a GenBank genome assembly. NCBI's taxonomy places the organism in Eukaryota, Metazoa, Chordata, Amphibia, Anura, Pelobatidae.